CCCUUCCCUUGAACAAAAUGAC
RNAcentral lists this non-coding RNA (22 nucleotides) under Arabidopsis thaliana (thale cress). Lineage: Eukaryota; Viridiplantae; Streptophyta; Magnoliopsida; Brassicales; Brassicaceae. The record is from RNAcentral.